This 490-nucleotide ribosomal RNA is filed under the name uncultured bacterium. RNAcentral's name for it is "partial 16S ribosomal RNA". It matches the Rfam family "Bacterial small subunit ribosomal RNA", at positions 30 to 507 of the family's 1533-position model. The record is from RNAcentral.
AUUGAACGCUGGCGGCAGGCCUAACACAUGCAAGUCGAACGGUAACAGGAAGCAGCUUGCUGCUUUGCUGACGAGUGGCGGACGGGUGAGUAAUGUCUGUGAAACUGCCUGAUGGAGGGGGAUAACUACUGGAAACGGUAGCUAAUACCGCAUAACGUCGCAAGACCAAAGAGGGGGACCUUAGGGCCUCUUGCCAUCGGAUUUGCCCAGAUGGGAUUAGCUAGUAGGUGGGGUAACGGCUCACCUAGGCGACGAUCCCUAGCUGGUCUGAGAGGAUGACCAGCCACACUGGAACUGAGACACGGUCCAGACUCCUACGGGAGGCAGCAGUGGGGAAUAUUGCACAAUGGGCGCAAGCCUGAUGCAGCCAUGCCGCGUGUAUGAAGAAGGCCUUCGGGUUGUAAAGUACUUUCAGCGGGGAGGAAGGGAGUAAAGUUAAUACCUUUGCUCAUUGACGUUACCCGCAGAAGAAGCACCGGCUAACUCCGUG